UCAAGGCAGUGAAGCAGUGAAGCCAACUGACAUGAUAGUCUCGCGGUACAGAGUUGUGUUGACCGCGCCACAAAUAUCGUGGCGCUCUAAGUGGCUGAUAAGUGUUUGUAGUAAGUUGUGAAACCGCACAGCUGCACUGCUAGCUAAAGUAGAUUUGGCAAAUCUAAUUAUGUGGUUUCACACAUCCGUCCUCCACCCACUAACCACUUAUCAAUGCAAACAGCCACUUAGACCGCUGCACAAGUAGCUCAUGUGUAAUUUGCCAGACGAUAAUAUAUCGGCUGGUCCACGAGACUACUGACAUGAUGGAGUGAGUGAAUAAAAUACAAAUGCAUGACCACUGUCCUUUAAAUAAUGAUUCUAGGAUCUAUGUGCAUAGCCAUAGUAGAUCUUUAUGAAUAUGAAAAAGUGUUCAAGAUGCUCACAACCCAGUGAGUGCCUUUCCGUUUCCAUCACAAUUCCUCACUUGUAUAUAUAGCUGGUACUAUUUGCAGCUCAGUGCUUCUCUGGUGGCAACAAUUACUACCCACAACGAAUCUGUGUGUCCUGAACAACAGUCCCUCACUGCACACACAGUCCACAAGAGAAGACAUUCAUCAACAGCUCCUACGUCAGCAUAGACCACUCCCCCAUCCAGCACAUCUUCACCAACGCCCACCCUCACACCACAUCCAACAACAACCGUAUUCGAUGAUGAUAUUUACGGCCGACACUAUAUUCUCCCUCAACCCACCACCAAAGCUAGCACAGUGACAGAGAGUAUUGAUGGAGAGACUGCGAGUGAACCACUUCCAUGUUUUAUUAUAUAUAAUAAUGUCGUCAACAUCCCUUAAUCCUCUACACAUUGUGGCGUUUAUCAA
Molecule: long non-coding RNA, 860 nt
Organism: Halichondria panicea
Lineage: Eukaryota; Metazoa; Porifera; Demospongiae; Suberitida; Halichondriidae
Exons: 2
Source: RefSeq, a predicted model, not a curated record